UGGGAUGGUCUCGAUUACUGCAGUGUGCAUU
RNAcentral lists this non-coding RNA (31 nucleotides) under Mus musculus (house mouse). Lineage: Eukaryota; Metazoa; Chordata; Mammalia; Rodentia; Muridae. The record is from RNAcentral.